Small nuclear RNA from Dromiciops gliroides (monito del monte), 107 nucleotides. Lineage: Eukaryota; Metazoa; Chordata; Mammalia; Microbiotheria; Microbiotheriidae. The record is from RefSeq and is a predicted model, not a curated record.
GUGUUCGCUUGGGCAGCACAUAUACUAAGAUUGGAACGAGACAGAGAAGAUUAGCAUGGCUCCUGCGCAAAGAUGACACGCAAAUUCGUGAAAUAGGGCAGCUAGGU